UCCAUUGCUGUAAGUGGGGUGUUAAAGUCCCCCACUAUGAUUGUGUUAUUGUUGAUUUGUCCUUUUAAGGUUGUUAGCAGUUGCCUUAUAUAUUAUGGUGAACCUGUGUUGGGUGUGUAGAUAUUUAAAAUUGUUAUAUCUUCUGUAGUUCCCGUCAUGGUGCAGGAUUAAUGGAUCCAACUGGGAACCAUGAGGUAUCGAACCUGCAACCUCAUGGUUCCUAGUCAGAUUCGUUAACCACUGCACCACGAUGGAACUCCUUUCCUAGCGGCUUUCAAUAUUUUCUCAUUGCCUUUAAUUUUGGUCAAUUUGAGUAAUGUGUCUUGGGGUGUGCCUCCUUGGGUUUAUUUUAUAUAGUACUUGUUGGGCUUCCUGGAUUUGAGUGAGUAGUUCCUUUCCCAUGUUAGGGAAGUUUUUGGCUGUUAUCUCUUUGAAUAUUUUUUCUGUCCCUUUCUUUCUCUCUUGUCCUUCUGGCACCCAUAUAACAUGGAUGUUGGUGCGUUUAACAUGGUCCCAGAGUUCUCUGAGACUCUCUUCAUUGUUUUUCAAUCUUUUUUCUCUUUUCUGUUCUGCAUUGGUGAUUUCCACUAGUAUGUCCUCCACCUUGCUUAUUUGUUCUUCUGCCUCCUAUAUUCUGCUGUUGGCUGCUUCUGAUGAAUUUUUAUUUAAGUUACUGUAUUUUGCAUCUCUUCUUGUUUAAGUUUUAUAUCUUGUGUCUCUUUGCUCAGUGUUUCCUGUAAAUUAUUCGUCUUUGCCUCCAGUUUAUUUCAAAUGUCUUGCAUCAUCUUCAGCAUCAACAGUCUAAAGUCUUUUUCCUGGAGGCUGAGAAUCUCCUGAUCACUUAGCUGUUUUUCUGAGUUUUUUUCUUUUUCUCUCCUCUUAGUUAUAGUUCUCUGUCUUUUCAUUUUUAUAGGUUUUUGGCGUUGUGAACUUUCUGCAGACGAUAGAGUUGUAGCAUCUCUUACCUCUGGCAUCUGCCCCCCUUGUGGCUGAAGUUUGUAUGGGGGCUUGCUGUAGGCUUCCUGAUGGGAGGGAUUGAUGCCUGCCCAGUGUUAGGUGGAGCUGAUUCCUAUCCCUCUGGUGGGUGGGGCUUUGUCUCUGGGUGAGAUUAGAGGCGUCUGUGUGCCUGUGUGGUCUUUAGGCAGCCUGUUUACUGAUGGGCAGGGCUGUGAUACCACCUGGAUUGUUGUUUGGCUGGGGGCUUCUCAGCAAUAAUGGGUGGAGCCAGAUUUUCCCAAAAUGGCCACCUCCAGAGAAAGGCACAUUGAGGAAUAUUCCCGAGAGCUUUGCUUACAACGUCCUUCCCCCACAACAAGACCCAUUCACCCCUGUUUUUCCAGGAGGUCCUCCAAGAAUUGCAGUCAGGUCUGAUCCAGAUUCCUUUGGAAACUUUGCUUCCCCCUGGGACCCAGUGCACGUGAAAGUGUGUGUGCCUUUUAAGAAUGGGGUCCCCAUUUCCGCCACUGCUGUGGAGCUCUUGCACACAAGCCACACUGGCCUUCAAUGCCAGAUGCUCUGGGGGCUCUUUCUCCCAGUUGCAGAUCCCCACACAUGAGGGUUUGAUAUGGGGCUCAAAACUCUCACUCCUGUAGGUGAGUCUCUGUGAACCAGUUACUUUCCAGUCUGUGGGACUUCCCAUCCGGGAGGUAUGGGGUUGCUUAUAUCACAUAAUCACCCCUCUUACCUCUUGAUGUGGCCUCCUCCCUAUCUCCUGGAGUAGGAUAUCUUUUUUAAGGUUUCCGGUCCAUUUGAGUGAAGAUUGCGCAGCCUUUGGUUGUAAAUUUUGUUGUUUUUAGGAGAGAAGUUAAGCUUCAGUCCUUCUAUUCCACCAUCUUAAUCCCCCAGCCCAUAACAUCUAUUUGAUUGAAACGAUAUAGCUCUUCUGGCCUCUGCAGUUCCUUAACAACACUGACUCACGUUGUUGCAUCACCCAUCCCAUGGUCUGUGAACAUUAGAUUCCAGUGACCUUCAAAAGUUGGUACUGUGCUUUGUGGAUGAGGGCUUCUAGCCAGAGCAUGCAGAAAAAUGUGAGCAAGCCCUUAUUUCCAGAUCAUGUUAGAUUUACCUGGAACUGUCAUUCUUAAAGGAAUCAAUAUUCUAAGCAGUACAUAUAGGCAGACUUGCACAGUUGGACUGGGUCAGCAGCUCUUAUUUAAUGGUACCACCCAUUAAGCAGAGAUUGGCAGUGGGGCGUGAGUAGGUGCUUAACAGGGAUGGAAGGACUGGCCCUUCACAACCCAGGCUUGUUCUUCAUGAUUCCCUAAAAGAACCCUUUAAGCAUCUUUCAGACUUCUUUAAUGAGCUCUCUGCUUUGGUAGUGUUUCCUUCUGUGCUUGUUUGUAGAGGUCACUACACUUGCAUGGGAAUACCACCCAAGGAAUGUGUGCAGUGGUUGGAGAGCCAAGCAAGAGGGAGAUUCUGCCCCUUCUUCAGAGCAUUUCUGAAUUUAGAGGCCUGAAAGGAAGUCUUUUUGCCAAGUGUGGUUUGGAAUUCAAACUUAAUGCCAGAGCCACCACACCUUUUUUAGCGCAAUUACCGCUUAACCAAACAUUUCUGAGUUCUUUAAAAUGGGUCCCCUUCGUCACUUAAAUAUUUUAGUAUUUAAAAUAUUUAAAUACUAAAUAUUUCAGCUCUUCUCUGAACUU
Molecule: long non-coding RNA, 2645 nt
Filed under: Sus scrofa (pig)
Lineage: Eukaryota; Metazoa; Chordata; Mammalia; Artiodactyla; Suidae
Description: lncRNA (ENSSSCG00035025271.1, ENSSSCG00055008058.1, ENSSSCG00170012319.1)
Source: RNAcentral